Molecule: unclassified non-coding RNA, 258 nt
Filed under: uncultured bacterium
Lineage: Bacteria
Description: contains 16S-23S intergenic spacer region
Source: RNAcentral
UCCGGUUUGGCACCGGCAGUCUUCCCAGAGCACCCCGACACUUCUGCCAGGUUCCUAUACUUUCUAGCCCAGGUAAGGUUCUUCGCGUUGCGUCGAAUUAAACCACAUGCUCCACCGCUUGUGCGGGCCCCCGUCAAUUCCUUUGAGUUUCAGCCUUGCGGCCGUACUCCCCAGGCGGGACACUUACUGCGUUAGCGACGGCACCGAGGGGGUCGCUCCCCCCGACGCCUAGUGUCCAUCGUUUACGGCGUGGACUAC